UACGUAGGGUGCAAGCGUUGUCCGGAAUUACUGGGCGUAAAGAGCUCGUAGGCGGUUUGUCGCGUCGUCUGUGAAAACUCGAGGCUCAACCUCGAGCUUGCAGGCGAUACGGGCAGACUUGAGUACUGCAGGGGAGACUGGAAUUCCUGGUGUAGCGGUGAAAUGCGCAGAUAUCAGGAGGAACACCGGUGGCGAAGGCGGGUCUCUGGGCAGUAACUGACGCUGAGGAGCGAAAGCGUGGGGAGCAAACAGG
This 253-nucleotide ribosomal RNA is filed under the name uncultured bacterium. Its description in RNAcentral is "partial 16S ribosomal RNA". It matches the Rfam family "Bacterial small subunit ribosomal RNA", at positions 524 to 776 of the family's 1533-position model. The record is from RNAcentral.